This 126-nucleotide transfer RNA is filed under the name Daphnia pulex (common water flea). It matches the Rfam family "tRNA". From Rfam's summary of the family: Transfer RNA (tRNA) molecules are approximately 80 nucleotides in length. Their secondary structure includes four short double-helical elements and three loops (D, anti-codon, and T loops). The record is from Rfam by way of RNAcentral. Lineage: Eukaryota; Metazoa; Arthropoda; Branchiopoda; Diplostraca; Daphniidae.
UCUCCAGUGGCGCAGUUGGUUAGCGCAUGGUACUUAUAUAACAGUGACUUAUUCGCUUGGAACUAUAACUGAUGGAAUGCAUAGGAAGUAAUGCCGAGGUCGCGAGUUCGAGCCUCGCCUGGAGAA